AAAGGUUGUAAAACCAUGCCGAAGACAGUAGGUGCGAGGUGAUGCCGGCAGUGCAUCCUUUGCGUAAGGAUACCGCCUACCGAGGAAAAGAGUUUUUAUGAUAAGGAUUUUACCUCUCUUUUUGUGUCGCGGCAUAGGAUGAGAGGUUUUUGUUAUGCACA
Regulatory RNA element from Lachnospiraceae bacterium, 161 nucleotides. It matches the Rfam family "Ribosomal protein L10 leader". From Rfam's summary of the family: This family is a putative r-protein leader autoregulatory structure found in B. subtilis and other low-GC Gram-positive bacteria. The record is from Rfam. Lineage: Bacteria; Bacillati; Bacillota; Clostridia; Lachnospirales; Lachnospiraceae.